RNAcentral lists this long non-coding RNA (783 nucleotides) under Toxoplasma gondii VEG. Lineage: Eukaryota; Apicomplexa; Conoidasida; Eucoccidiorida; Sarcocystidae. The record is from RNAcentral.
ACCAGUUGUAGUGUGGUGGGCGGGGUGGUAUGCCCUCGUCCAUGGCCUGUGGCGGCUUUUUGCCUGCAGGUUCUGUGCUUCCCUGCAGUUGUACAUAGAAGGAAUGUUGAAGUCUCGGACUGCCGUUCGAGCGCGUUGUUUCGUUCGAUUUUCUACGCUAUAGCUUACAAUACAUUUUAUUUUUAUGAUCCCAAGCCGGUUUAAUAAGACGAAGUGUUUGCGUGAAAGCUUCGGGACGCCAGAUGAAGAGCGGAAGACCGCAGAUUUAGAGGAAGAGGCGUAAUGAGCACAAAAAUUCUUUGUUCUCGGGACCGGUGUCAGCGGUAUGGGUUUGGUCUAAAUAGUCGCGGGGUGCAGUUGUGCAAUGUGCCCCAGGCGGCUUCCAAGCCAAAGAAGUUCUCACGUGCAGCUUACGCCCGAGAUCGUUGGUAGGGAAGUUUUUCUCCCUUAACUGGUCAAACGUGUCACACUUUCAGUCUUUUAUGCGGUGUGUUCCCCUGAUUUUCGCUGUAACUCUGUUGGCGGCAGGCGUGUUGCUACGUUUCCGUAGGUGAGUUAAAGUUGUUAGUGUAGGGGUCUUGCUGGUGUGCCGCAAGAAAUUUCACAGGAUGAAACGUCUCCUUUGAGACCUCUCGUUUGGUUCCGGUACACGUACACAGAUUCGACUGGAGAUGUACUGCUCUCGGGCACACGACAGUGCAUUUGACGGGGCAGUGGACUGUCCUCCGAUGGUCGUAUCACAACCACUGCAAAUUUGUGCUUGUGGCCCUCAACAAAUGACAG